UACAGAGGUCCCAAGCGUUACUGAGAAUCACUGGGUUUAAAGGGUGCGUAGGCGGGUCUUUAAGUCAGGGGUGAAAGCCCAGAGCUCAACUCUGGAAUUGCCUUUGAGACUGAGUGGCUUGAGUACGAGAGAGGUGAGUGGAAUUCCCAGUGUAGAGGUGAAAUUCGUAGAUAUUGGGAAGAACACCGGUGGCGAAGGCGGCUCACUGGCUCGUAACUGACGCUCAUGCACGACAGCGUGGGGAUCAAACAGG
Molecule: ribosomal RNA, 253 nt
Filed under: uncultured bacterium
Lineage: Bacteria
Description: partial 16S ribosomal RNA
Rfam family: Bacterial small subunit ribosomal RNA
Source: RNAcentral